Molecule: unclassified non-coding RNA, 170 nt
Organism: Chelonoidis abingdonii (Abingdon island giant tortoise)
Lineage: Eukaryota; Metazoa; Chordata; Testudines; Testudinidae
Source: Ensembl
UUAACAGCUCAGGAAGCUUAAAUCCUCAGAACAGGCACAGGAUGGACAGUGACACUGCAAACUUCUCCACACUGUCCUGCCAAUCUACGGUUACCUGAACCCUGACAUGGGGUCACCUGUGGGGGUGAGACGGUAGUUCAGUUUCCAUGCCUGUUUAAUCCUUGGCCUCU